This is a transfer RNA of Guillardia theta CCMP2712, 73 nucleotides long. It matches the Rfam family "tRNA". From Rfam's summary of the family: Transfer RNA (tRNA) molecules are approximately 80 nucleotides in length. The record is from Rfam. Lineage: Eukaryota; Cryptophyceae; Pyrenomonadales; Geminigeraceae.
GCUUGGCUGGCGCAAUGGACAGCGCGUUGGACUUCUAAUCCAAAGGUUCUGGGUUCAAGUCCCAGGUCAGGUG